CAACUCCCAAACCCCUGUGAACAUACCACUUGUUGCCUCGGCGGAUCAGCCCGCUCCCGGUAAAACGGGACGGCCCGCCAGAGGACCCCUAAACUCUGUUUCUAUAUGUAACUUCUGAGUAAAACCAUAAAUAAAUCAAAAC
RNAcentral lists this unclassified non-coding RNA (142 nucleotides) under Fusarium oxysporum. RNAcentral's name for it is "partial internal transcribed space 1". The record is from RNAcentral. Lineage: Eukaryota; Fungi; Ascomycota; Sordariomycetes; Hypocreales; Nectriaceae.